UAUGCUGAAGUGUGUGAAAGAGUUCAUUCUGAUCUGGUUGGGUUUGAGACAGGCAGUCACUCUCAGUCGAUUUGUUUCUGGGGAGAGAAUGAGAGCUACGAUCAUGUGGAGUGCAGCCCAGGACAAAGAAUUAGACUCAAGACAAGAGGAGACUCUCUACUGAUAGAGUCAUUCACAAAGCUGGAUAGUGAUCAGCGAGCUCACUCAUCAAACUACACUGGAGGAGAGAAGACAGGACAGAGCUGGACUAAUAAAAUACUGGGACACAAAUCAACUGAUGAACCCAGCCAGGGAACGGGAGGAGGAGGAGGGGAGGUUGAUGAUGAUGAAUGGGAUGACUGAGUAUACACAAGAAACCAAAAUAACUUUUUAUUAUUCAAUUUUAGUUCAAGUCAUGACACUAUUACUUUUAGCAUCAGUGAAUGAUAAUUAAAAUGUAUCAUUGUUUGUUAGAAAAAUAAUGCUGUAUACACAGUAUACUGAUGUACAGUGUAUUACAAUAAGUUUGUGUGUGAGUGUAUUAUUGGUUCUUUAUGAUUUAGCAUCCCACCUCCA
This is a long non-coding RNA of Amphimedon queenslandica, 555 nucleotides long. RefSeq lists it as uncharacterized. Lineage: Eukaryota; Metazoa; Porifera; Demospongiae; Haplosclerida; Niphatidae. The transcript is spliced from 3 exons. The record is from RefSeq and is a predicted model, not a curated record.